RNAcentral lists this ribosomal RNA (275 nucleotides) under uncultured bacterium. Its description in RNAcentral is "partial 16S ribosomal RNA". It matches the Rfam family "Bacterial small subunit ribosomal RNA", at positions 28 to 300 of the family's 1533-position model. The record is from RNAcentral.
GACGAACGCUGGCGGCGUGCUUAACACAUGCAAGUCGAGCGGUAAGGCCCUUUCGGGGGUACGACGAGCGGCGAACGGGUGAGUAACACGUGGGUGACCUGCCCUCCAGCUCUGGGAGUAAGCCUCGGGAAACCGGGGUCUAAUACUGGAUAUGACUCCAUGACGCAUGUUGUGGGGUGGAAAGCCUUGUGCGGCUGAGGAUGGGCCCGCGGCCUAUCAGCUUGUUGGUGGGGUGAGGCCUACCAAGGCGACGACGGGUAGCCGGCCUGAGAGGG